Molecule: long non-coding RNA, 215 nt
Filed under: Nicotiana benthamiana
Lineage: Eukaryota; Viridiplantae; Streptophyta; Magnoliopsida; Solanales; Solanaceae
Description: long non-coding RNA (NBEN_LNC036712)
Source: RNAcentral
CCAGCGGAAAAUGUAGUACCCGAUUCAAACCCACGUGUGACAUCAAUUUCUAUAAGGGUCUCUUCUCGACCCCAAAAGGUUUCAGUUUCAGGUUCUCCAAAAUUGCUAGCCGACGAUCUACCGACAUGGACUGUACCAUAUCCGACUUGAGGAUUGCGUAUUGCGCCUAAACCCUCCUUGGGGGUCUCUUCAGUACAAGUUUGGUUCACAUUGGC